Molecule: ribosomal RNA, 497 nt
Filed under: uncultured bacterium
Lineage: Bacteria
Description: partial 16S ribosomal RNA
Rfam family: Bacterial small subunit ribosomal RNA
Source: RNAcentral
GAUGAACGCUGGCGGCGUGCCUAAUACAUGCAAGUCGAGCGAACAGAUAAGGAGCUUGCUUCUUUGACGUUAGCGGCGGACGGGUGAGUAACACGUGGAUAACCUACCUAUAAGACUGGGAUAACUUCGGGAAACCGGAGCUAAUACCGGAUAACAUAUUGAACCGCAUGGUUCAAUAGUGAAAGGCGGCUUUGCUGUCACUUAUAGAUGGAUCCGCGCCGUAUUAGCUAGUUGGUAAGGUAACGGCUUACCAAGGCAACGAUACGUAGCCGACCUGAGAGGGUGAUCGGCCACACUGGAACUGAGACACGGUCCAGACUCCUACGGGAGGCAGCAGUAGGGAAUCUUCCGCAAUGGGCGAAAGCCUGACGGAGCAACGCCGCGUGAGUGAUGAAGGUCUUCGGAUCGUAAAACUCUGUUAUCAGGGAAGAACAAAUGUGUAAGUAACUGUGCACAUCUUGACGGUACCUGAUCAGAAAGCCACGGCUAACUACGUG